This 479-nucleotide long non-coding RNA is filed under the name Monodelphis domestica (gray short-tailed opossum). RNAcentral's name for it is "lncRNA (ENSMODG00000048232.1)". The record is from RNAcentral. Lineage: Eukaryota; Metazoa; Chordata; Mammalia; Didelphimorphia; Didelphidae.
AGAGAAUUCUAGAAGAAAGGAGGCUCCUCUAUCUAGUAGGCUCAUCCAGGGAGCAGACCCACUAAGGCACAUGUGCUACAGAAGCAUGGUGUUCCUUCUUGUUGUAGACAAUGAUGACCAAAAGCUGAAUAGUGAACAUUAUCCAUCUGAGAACAGGUAUGGCAUGCAGAUGAGACUGAAGAGCAGGAGCAGUCAAAGGAAGUUUUGUUCCCCACUGCUGGGGAUCUUAAAAAAGAUUUCACUAAGAACUAAGUAUAAGGAGCAGAUGAGGAAACUGACAGAGAAGUUCAAUGAUUUGCGCAGAAGUUCAGUGAUUUGCCCAGAUUCAUGUAACUAGCAAGUGUCUGAAGCAGGAUCUGAGCCCAAAUCUUCCUGACAUCAAGGCCAAGGCUAUAUCCACUAUAUCAACUCUAUGAUAUUAUUGUUAUUAUUUAUUAAUCUGUCCCUUCUUCCCCUUAAUAAAAAUGAAAAUCAGGACA